Molecule: ribosomal RNA, 930 nt
Filed under: Cortinarius sp. PDD 105939
Lineage: Eukaryota; Fungi; Basidiomycota; Agaricomycetes; Agaricales; Cortinariaceae
Description: partial large subunit ribosomal RNA
Rfam family: Eukaryotic large subunit ribosomal RNA
Source: RNAcentral
CAUAUCAAUAAGCGGAGGAAAAGAAACUAACAAGGAUUUCCCCUAGUAACUGCGAGUGAAGCGGGAAAAGCUCAAAUUUAAAAUCUGGCAGUCUUUGGUUGUCCGAGUUGUAAUCUAGAGAAGUGUUAUCCGCGCUGGACCGUGUACAAGUCUCCUGGAAUGGAGCGUCAUAGAGGGUGAGAAUCCCGUCUUUGACACGGACUGCCAGGGCUUUGUGAUGCGCUCUCAAAGAGUCGAGUUGUUUGGGAAUGCAGCUCAAAAUGGGUGGUAAAUUCCAUCUAAAGCUAAAUAUUGGCGAGAGACCGAUAGCGAACAAGUACCGUGAGGGAAAGAUGAAAAGAACUUUGGAAAGAGAGUUAAACAGUACGUGAAAUUGCUGAAAGGGAAACGCUUGAAGUCAGUCGCGUUGAACAGGGAUCAACCUUGCUUUUGCUCGGUGCACUUCCUGAUUGACGGGUCAGCAUCAAUUUUGACCAUUGGAAAAAGAUUAGGGGAAUGUGACAUCUUCGGAUGUGUUAUAGCCCUUCGUUGCAUACAAUGGUUGGGAUUGAGGAACUCAGCACGCCGCAAGGCCGGGUUUUUAACCACGUACGUGCUUAGGAUGCUGGCAUAAUGGCUUUAAUCGACCCGUCUUGAAACACGGACCAAGGAGUCUAACAUGCCUGCGAGUGUUUGGGUGGAAAACCCGAGCGCGUAAUGAAAGUGAAAGUUGAGAUCCCUGUCGUAGGGAGCAUCGACGCCCGGACCAGACCUUUUGUGACGGUUCCGCGGUAGAGCAUGUAUGUUGGGACCCGAAAGAUGGUGAACUAUGCCUGAAUAGGGUGAAGCCAGGGGAAACCCUGGUGGAGGCUCGUAGCGAUUCUGACGUGCAAAUCGAUCGUCAAAUUUGGGUAUAGGGGCGAAAGACUAAUCGAACCAUCUAGUAGCUGG